AAUUGGCUGGUCUGGGGUGAAGGGAUAGCACUAGGUGAGGGGUAAUAAAAGGUAAAUAAUAUGAGUAUGUAAUAUAGAGAGUGAAAAUACUAUAUGAGCUUGAUAUACAUAACUCUGUAUUGCAAAUUUGUUAAAGAAUGUAUAAGUUUUAAGUAUAAAUAAAUAAAUAAAAUUUUUAAAAAAGAACAAGCUUGGGCAAACUUCAGCCCUCCAGGCGUUUUGGACUUCAACUCCCACAAAUGUGGGAGUUGAAGUCCAAAACACCUGGAGGGCUGAAGUUUGCCCAUGCCUGGGUAAGAAAGGCAGAUGGGUAGUCAUGUGGCCCUCGAAGUAUUGGUGGUCUGCCUUUCCCAAAGGCAUUGCAGUCAACUGACCACUGAAAGAUUCUUGGGUUAGCAGCUUAACACAAGUUUUUCGUACAGCUCUCCAAACCUUUUUCCACAUGGGAUGCAAAGGCCCAUAGUUUGGGAAUCACUCCUUUAAUCGUCAAAUGGAAUAAGAGAAGUCUGCUCAGAAAUGUUAUGACACUGCGGCAGAUUGAUUUCAGAACCUGCCUUUUUCAUCAGGAAGCUGAAAUCACAUUUUUCCCAGGUCCGUUUCUACACCCGACUACAAAGCACAGAGUCUCGCAGUGAAGGGGCAGAGCUGAGUUGAGGAAUGUUAACAUAACAAUUGCCCAAGAAGAGGCCUGUUGUGGCUGUGAUGAAUCUUUCCCUGCCAUUCCCUACGAAAAAGGAAAACUUUGUGCGAACACACGUCAGCCUCUUCACAUGCCGCAUGAUGCCGAAUAGGAGAGAAGGAGCUGUGACCUGCUGCCACGUGGCCCGUUUCAGCUAAAAAAAAAACCAUGACGGCUGAGCCUUUACCAUUACAGCCAACCAAACAACCAAACAAACUUGAUUGCUGAAGGGAACUGACCAAACCGAAUCCGUGCACAAGCCUACUAAACAUAAGGUACUUCUGUUCCUUUGGUUUCCUUACUCUAAGAGGCUGAGAUAAAGGACUUUAUCGCAUGAACAUGCUACUCCACUAGUCACACUAUCAUUGAUAGUAGAGAUACAUACCAAGUAGCACACCUUCGGUAUUGUACCAUAGCUCAAUUGAACAAUUGUGAAACUUGUUUCCAAAAGGUAUCAAAUCCAUGUGAAUAAAUUUUACAGGAAUAGAAAUAAUGUGCUGAGGACAUGCAUUCUUUUGCUAUAAAAUGCAGUUUUCCAAUCUCCAUAUCGAAGUGAUACAGUGCACCCUUGAGCAUUUGUGGUCUCAUAAUUAUACUUUCACAUACCCUUACAACCCCAUCUUCCAAAACUUCUAUUUUCCAUAUUUUUACAAAUUUUAGAGCAUUUUGGUAAUUUUAGCUUUGAAAAACUAUGGGGUAUCACUAUUCCUUCUGCUUCCCAAUUCUAAGAAGCUGAGACUGAGGACUUUACUGCAUGAACAGUUGUGCUAUCAUUGAUAGCAGACACAUACCAAGUUGAGACCUCAGUACUGCCUCACUCUACAAUAGCAGAAUUGUGCUGAUUUGGCACAUGAUCGUACUUCCACAAGCCCUUGUGACACCACCUUCCCAC
RNAcentral lists this long non-coding RNA (1571 nucleotides) under Anolis carolinensis (green anole). Its description in RNAcentral is "lncRNA (ENSACAG00000036379.1)". Lineage: Eukaryota; Metazoa; Chordata; Lepidosauria; Squamata; Anolidae. The record is from RNAcentral.